This 253-nucleotide ribosomal RNA is filed under the name uncultured bacterium. Its description in RNAcentral is "partial 16S ribosomal RNA". It matches the Rfam family "Bacterial small subunit ribosomal RNA", at positions 524 to 776 of the family's 1533-position model. The record is from RNAcentral.
GACGUAGGGUGCGAGCGGUAAUCGGAAUUACUGGGCGUAAAGCGUGCGCAGGCGGCUUUGCAAGACAGAUGUGAAAUCCCCGGGCUCAACCUGGGAACUGCAUUUGUGACUGCAAGGCUAGAGUACGGCAGAGGGGGAUGGAAUUCCGCGUGUAGCAGUGAAAUGCGUAGAUAUGCGGAGGAACACCAAUGGCGAAGGCAAUCCCCUGGGCCUGUACUGACGCUCAUGCACGAAAGCGUGGGGAGCAAACAGG